ACGCUCGACACCUACGGGAGGCAGCAGUUGGGAAUAUUGGACAAUGGAGGAAACUCUGAUCCAGUGACGCCGCGUGAAGGAAGAAGGUCUUCGGAUUGUAAACUUAUUUUGUCAGGGAAGAAAAUGACGGUACCUGACUAAGAAGCCCCGGCUAACUACGUGCCAACAGCCGCGGUAAUCUGAGCGGGCUGGCAAGGC
This 198-nucleotide ribosomal RNA is filed under the name uncultured bacterium. RNAcentral describes it as "partial 16S ribosomal RNA". It matches the Rfam family "Bacterial small subunit ribosomal RNA", at positions 328 to 539 of the family's 1533-position model. The record is from RNAcentral.